This 14158-nucleotide long non-coding RNA is filed under the name Triticum aestivum (bread wheat). RNAcentral describes it as "long non-coding RNA (TAES_LNC023549)". Lineage: Eukaryota; Viridiplantae; Streptophyta; Magnoliopsida; Poales; Poaceae. The record is from RNAcentral.
UCCGCAGCAUCGCCGGAGUGCGCGUCCAUGACCCUGUGCGGGCCGAUCAAGAAGCACAUCAUCGAGCACUUCCACCACAAGAAGCCCGUGCCGCCUAAGCCGGAGCUCAAGCCCCAGCCCCACCCGGACUACGGCCCCGUGCCCAAGCCGGAGCCGAAGCCGCAGCCCCACCCGGACUACCACCCCCCUCCCACGCCCACCUACGGCGGCGGUGGCGGCGGCGGUGGAUACCACAGGCACCACUGAGUCAGGUCUACCCCCGUCCUGCCCAGCGAUGAAAUCUCAUCAUCAGCGGGUUGGUGAUCAGUGAGUGGUCGACGGUGCUAAUUAUGAUUGGUUUGCAUGCGUGAGUAUCGUUAGGUCUUCUGCCAUUCCCGCGAAGCCCCGUUUAUUAUCUGCACUGCAGAGUUGGGAGUUCAGAAUAACAGAUGUGCGUGUGUGUGUCGCUGUGUCAGGCAAGUGUGAGGGUGUGUUGGCGUGUUGCUUUAUCAAGAUUUUGUAAUUUCAGUGUGUGUUUUGUAUAAGAAGUUAUUAUGAAUCAAGUAAUUUAAACAAGUCGAUUUGUCAACCGAACAACUGCAGCUGUUCGAGACGAUUGGCAUGAUAAGGAUAGUGUGAUUUUACUUCAACUCAAUUUUCAGAUCCGUGAACUGAAACUGAAGUGAAAUUCAGGCGUGUGCAAUGCAUUCAUACUGCUGGUCAUAGUUUUUUCUCUUACGAUGAACAAGUCGAUUUAUGAACAUUUUUCCUAGAUAAGUGAGGCUUUUAAAAAAUGUUCAUCAUGUGUUCAAAACAAUGAUAACCGUAAAUUUAAAGCAAAAUUGUUCGCCGUGUAUCUUAAAAAUGUUCAUCAUGAAUUUAAAAGGUUUGCCACUAAUUUUAAAAAGUUCAUCAUGUAUUUAUAUCACUAAUUUAGUUAUCUAAACGCUCUUAUAUUAGUUUACAGAGGGAGUAUUUAAAAGUUGUCAUCACGUAAUUAAAAAAAGGUUAAUUGUGCAUUAAUGAAAAUUUUCACCAUGUUUCAGAAAUGUUCAUCAUGUAUUAAUAAACUUAACCUUGUAUUUUUAAAAGUAAAAAAAUGCUCAUUGUGUAUUUAAAACAUAUAAAGAUAUUUUUUUGUAAAUGAACUAAAAAUAUUCAUUCUGUAUUAAAAAAAUAUUCACCAUGAAUUGUUCAAAAAAAUCACCUUGUAUUAUUCAAAAACGCUCAGACACAAAGGACAAAUGCUCAUACACGGUGUGGGGAAAAGGAGAAAAUGCAUAGAGUAAAAGAACAACAAAAGAGGAAAAAUGGACAAUGAAAAAAAAAAGGAAAGAAUGAAGAAUCCAACUAAGAAAAAAAACAGUUCAGAAGCCAAACACAAAAACCAUGCAAAAAGACGCAGCAGGAACCAGCGAACGAAACAACACCCCUAGCUGGCCUGCCCAAGUCACCUUGCUUGUGACUGUCUUCGCAUCCAUUUGACGUGUGUGCGUAUUUGCCGGAGACCUCCUAUUCCCUGACCUACGCGGGGAAAAGUGAGGAAACAUGCACCUAAACCUGUGGGUAGCCCGACCCGAGCCUGGCCCGAAAAAUCCAGGCCACGCUGGGGCCUUGUUUUGCAGCCCAAUGUACAUUUCGCCUAGGCUCGGGCUUUUGUAACAAUACUGAGAAAUAGUAUUUGGUCGGGCUUUCAAUAUUCAGGUCGGGCUUACAACUAACAACAUUGAUAAACACCAUUCGAGCUAGACUUUCGGGCUUCGGGCCUAUAUUUGGCUGAGGCUCGAGCUUGAGAAAGUGUGUACUUUCGGGAUUUGGACCAGCUGGGGCUUGAAGUUUGGGUUUCUGGCUUUUUGAAGCCCAGCCCGCCAUAUAAUCAGGUUUAAGUGCACCCCCGCCCCCCACGCGUGCUUUUGGCCGGCCCAUAUGCGGGGUGAGCCGGGCUUAUUAUUAUUAUUUUUGCUUUUGUACUUUCGUUCUUUCUCAAUUGCAAGAAAUGUUCAUAAAAUAAGCAUAUGUUUGCACAUUUCUCAAAGUGCUUCAAAUUUUCAAAAUAUUAUAUGAUUUAAAUUCUUCAUAAAUUGAAAAUUUUCUUGAAUUUCAGAAAAUGUUCAUGAAUUGUAAAAUUGUUCCCCUAGUUCACAAAUUAUUCAUGUAUUUGAAAGUCCAUGGAUUCGAAAAUUGCUCGCGAAUUUGAGAAUGGAAUAAUAGAGUGAGUAUAGCAAUUGAUAUCUAUAGAUACUUUGCGAGGUUUAUAUCAUUAAAUUUAGAAAUGAUGUCAUUAUCACGACAUGUAUUGGAUGUCCUUUUUUCACUAGUUAAUAUCCAUAAAAUAUCAUGUUAGAUGACCGAUUUUUCAUAAUAUAACAUUUAUUGUGAAUCAAAAACCAGAAAGCAAGAAUCCUGCAAAGAAAAUGUAACACAUAAUCCUAGAGAGCGCCUUACACAUCUCAUUUCUAAGUGUGUUUACUUAUAAUUUGGUAAACAUAAGUCCAAGCAAAUCAAAGAAAAUCAAAGUACAGAGAAUACCUACAUACCAUGGCCCAUUGACCGGUCCACACAAUUGACUGCUUUAAUGUGACCCAUCAAAGACACUCAGAGCUUCAAAGGUGAACUGUUCUUUGAUCCAGGCUUUGGUUGGCACCGUAAAGAAUGCAAAAUAACAGCUCAAAUAUUUGUAUCAGCAAAAGAUCAAACAACUGAAAUAAGAAGCACAGAGCACAUGAGCAAGGAACAUAAAUGUUGUUAAUAAAACAAGAAAAAAACUAAGAUACACUUGUGUCACUCGCAACUCACUAACUCAUCACAAAUUCUUCAUACGAGCAAAAUAACACUACUAGGGACAAAGCAGGGCUUCGAUUUUCUUGCACAACAGCUAACAGUUAGAGUUUUUAAUUCAUGUUUACCCAAUAAUUCUCCACAAUUCCUCACAUAGUUUCUAGUUCAACCAUUACUGGUAUGUAAAUAGACAAGAUUAGAUCGAUACUAAAAUUUGCAUUACGCUAUCGACGAAUGACGGCUCAAUUUUAUCUCCACAUAGAUGACACAAGAAUCUCAUUUGAGCAGUUGGUCACAAUGCAUACUAGCAUACUAAUGUUUCCAAUCGAACCGCAGCCAGAAACUUAGAACGACUUAUCCAACUUCUACCACCAAAUCAAAUUCAUAAUAUGAUGUUGCCUCCACGUUCCACGAUCCCGGUAGGUACAUCCAUGCACUUUCCACAUGCGAGAUGCGAUGAAGAUGUGAGAUGUGGCCAAAGAUUUGGGAUGUUGUAAACAUAUCUACGAGAUAUUUUUUUCUCUAUGUAUACCUAAUAGUUUACUAGAAGCCGCUAUCAGGAUAUUUCUGACUUUAAAAGACACACACACACAGAGAGAGAGAGAUAUACGUAUAUACUAUGGUCAUGUGAGUGUCACAAAUUAAUCCAUGAAACAUGCAAUUUUAUGUAGUCUAUUUUCUUAUGGUUAGAGGGGUUAAGUUUAAGUAUUAUUUUAUGGUGCAAUCUAUUGAAUAGAAAGAAACUAAUCAAAUUUAGCGUAGGGCGUGCAUAUAUUUUAAUGACACACAUUACAACCUAGCAGAAAAUAAUAUUAUUUAUAUUGAGCAUAAUUAUCGUAAGUAAAUAUAAAAAAGAAGUAACCGCUCGCAGUUAAUAGUGAGUUUUAAACAUGUAUAAAAGUUUAAUAUAAAUAUUCAAUUUAAUUAGACUCGAUUUCUUGUCACCGCCCUAGAUUCAUGUUUGUAAUUAGUGGCAUUGCAUCCAUGCAUCAUGUCUAAUUUUAUCAGAAAUUUGAAUUGAGGGAAUUUUCAAAACCUCAGAAACAUUUUAGAAAUUAUCAACACUAAAAUCUUCUCAAAUAAGUCCAAGAAAAUGUUCCUGUUAUUUUAUGAAAAUAUUGGAAAGAGGUAAAAUUAAAACCAGUGUUUUUGGAUUGUCAGAAAUAUUUAUUUUGGGAAUUUGAGUUAAUCUAAUAAUUAUUUGCAUUAGACUUAUAUUUAUUAUAUAUUAAAUAUUGGUCCAAAAAAUUUGAAAGUUUGUAUGAGGCUCUGGACUAGUUCCCUAAGUCCACAUAUUGAAUUUCAGAAGUUUAUAAAGUGAUUUGGUAGUUAAACCAAAUCAAACAAACAGAACAAAAUGGAAAACAAAAACAGAAAGGGAAGAACAGAGAGAGAGAGAGAGAGUUUACCUGGCAGCCCACUUACCCGGCCCAACUCCUCUAGCCGGCCCAGCCUACCUGGCUCUGCCAGUCGUCCUCUACCUCGUGCCAGAGGGCACGAGGGCGUGUGGCCGCCGCCCACGCGUACGCACCGCGCCACCUCCUGCUUGCCGCUUCGCUCUGGCCCUCUCUGGACGUCGACACGUAGCCCCCUGGUCCUCUCCCUCGCUCCCCUCGUCCUUCCCCUCCUCUGGAUCCCUCUCUCUCUCUCACCACCGAGCGGGGCUCAUCGCCACCGACGCCGUUCACCGUAGCCACCGCCUCCUCCUGAACCUCUCUCCGCGCCCAGAAGCUCCGCCACUUCGUCCUCGACCCCCUCGCUGAGCCACGCAACGCCGGACGCCCUGAAGCCUCGCCAACACCGUCGUUCCCCUCGUCGGUCACCGCGGAUCCUCGCCGUUGAUUCAGGAGCUACAGGACCUCCCCGAGCACUCUGAGCUUCUCUACAAGUCCUCCGUGAGCCCCUCUUUCCCCUACCCUAACCUCGUUGCUUCGCUCGACCUCUAGCUAGCGCUGCCGCCAUGGCCGAGCUCCGCCGCCGCCUGCCUUGUCAUGCGCCACCAUUGCAGCCCGCGCCCGUCGUUGGAGAGCAUGGCAACGAGCUCGUCGUGCCUCCAGGAGGCCGGCUAUCCCUUUUGCUAGCUCGCCCGUGCCCCGUAGCACCGCUGCCCGCUUGCGCCCGAACUCCGGCCGCCGCCCAAGUGGUCGCCGCCGUCGACCCCGGCCUCCCUGCGCCUAGCUGCAUGCACCCCUGGAUGCGGGCGAGCGAGGGCUUCCUCAUGGUGCCCUGCUACCUCUUGAGCACUGCGUUGGUUUUCCCUAGAAAAGGAAAGGGUGAUGCAGCAAAGUGGCGUAAGUAUUUCCCUCAGUUUUUGAAAACCAAGGUAUCAAUCCAGUAGGAGGCUACACACGAGUCCCUCGCACCUACACAAACGAAUAAAUCCUCGCAACCAACAUGAUAAGGGGUUGUCAAUCCCUACACGGUCACUUACGAGAGUGAGAUCUGAUAGAUAUGAUAAGAUAAUAUUUUUGGUAUUUUUGUGAUAAAGAUGCAAAGUAAAGAAAGUAAAAUAAAAACGGCGCUAGAAAUAGCUAAGUGUUGGAAGAUUAAUAUGAUGGAAAAUAGACCCGGGGGCCAUAGGUUUCACUAGUGGCUUCUCUCGAGAGCAUAAGUAUUUACGGUGGGUGAACAAAUUACUGUUGAGCAAUUGACAGAAUUGAGCAUAGUUGUGAGAAUAUCUAGGCAUGAUCAUGUAUAUAGGCAUGACGUCCGAAACAAGUAGACCGACUCCUGCCUGCAUCUACUACUAUUACUCCACACAUCGACCGCUAUCCAGCAUGCGUCUAGAGUAUUAAGUUCAUAAGAACAGAGUAACGCUUUAAGCAAGAUGACAUGAUGUAGAGGGAUAAACUCAUGCAAUAUGAUAUAAACCCCAUCUUGUUAUCCUCGAUGGCAACAAUACAUUACGUGCCUUGCUGCCCCCACUGUCACUGGAAAAGGACACCGCAAGAUUGAACCCAAAGCUAAGCACUUCUCCCAUUGCAAGAAAGAUCAAUCUAGUAGGCCAACCCAAACUGAUAAUUCGAAGAGACUUGCAAAGAUAACCAAUCAUACAUAAAAGAAUUCAGAAGAUUCAAAUAUUGUUCAUAGAUAAGCUUGAUCAUAAACCCACAAUUCAUCGGUCUCCACAAACACAUCACAAAAGAAGAUUACAUCGAAUAGAUCUCCACAAGAGAGGGGGAGAACAUUGUAUUGAGAUCGAAAAAGAGAGAAGAAGCCAUCUAGCUAAUAACUAUGGACCCGAAGGUCUGAGGUAAACUACUCACACUUCAUCGGAGAGCCUAUGGUGUUGAUGUAGAAGCCCUCCGUCAUCGAUGCCCCCUCCGGCGGAGCUCCGAAACAGGCCCCAAGAUGGGAUCUCACGAAUACAGAAGGUUGCGGCGGUGAAAUUAGGUUUUUAGCUGCGUAUCUGAUCGUUUGGGGGUACGUAGCUAUAUAUAGGAGGAAGGAGUACGUCGGUGGAGCAACGUGGGGCCCACGAGGGUGGAGGGCGCGCCCAGGGGGUAGGAGCGCCCCCUACCUCGUGGCUUCCUGGUAGCUUUCUUGACGUAGGGUCCAAGUCAUCUGGAUCAUGUUUGUUCCGAAAAUCACGUUUCCGAAGGUUUCAUUCCGUUUGGACGCCGUUUGAUAUCCUGCGAAACUCUGAAAUAGGCAAAAACAGCAAUUCUGGGCUGGGCCUCCGGUUAAUAGGUUAGUCCCAAAAAUAAUAUAAAAGUGCAUAAUAAAGCCCAAUAAUGUCCAAAACAGAAGAUAAUAUAGCAUGGAGCAAUCAAAAAUUAUAGAUACGUUGGAGACGUAUCAAGCAUCCCCAAGCUUAAUUCCUGCUCGUCCUCGAGUAGGUAAAUGAUAAAAACAGAAUUUUUGAUGUGGAAUGCUACUUGGCAUAAUUUCAAUGUAAUUUUUAUUAAUUGUGGUAUGAAUAUUCAGAUCCGAAAGAUUCAAGAUAAAAGUUCAAUAUUGACAUAAAAAUAAUAAUACUUCAAGCAUACUAACUAAGCAAUUAUGUCCGCAGCAUCGCCGGAGUGCGCGUCCAUGACCCUGUGCGGGCCGAUCAAGAAGCACAUCAUUGAGCACUUCCACCACAAGAAGCCCGUGCCGCCUAAGCCGGAGCUCAAGCCCCAGCCCCACCCGGACUACGGGCCCGUGCCCAAGCCGGAGCCGAAGCCGCAGCCCCACCCGGACUACCACCCCCCUCCCACGCCCACCUACGGCGGCGGUGGCGGCGGCGGUGGAUACCACAGGCACCACUGAGUCAGGUCUACCCCCGUCCUGCCCAGCGAUGAAAUCUCAUCAUCAGCGGGUUGGUGAUCAGUGAGUGGUCGACGGUGCUAAUUAUGAUUGGUUUGCAUGCGUGAGUAUCGUUAGGUCUUCUGCCAUUCCCGCGAAGCCCCGUUUAUUAUCUGCACUGUAGAGUUGGGAGUUCAGAAUAACAGAUGUGCGUGUGUGUGUCGCUGUGUCAGGCAAGUGUGAGGGUGUGUUGGCGUGUUGCUUUAUCAAGAUUUUGUAAUUUCAGUGUGUGUUUUGUAUAAGAAGUUAUUAUGAAUCAAGUAAUUUAAACAAGUCGAUUUGUCAACCGAACAACUGCAGCUGUUCGAGACGAUUGGCAUGAUAAGGAUAGUGUGAUUUUACUUCAACUCAAUUUUCAGAUCCGUGAACUGAAACUGAAGUGAAAUUCAGGCGUGUGCAAUGCAUUCAUACUGCUGGUCAUAGUUUUUUCUCUUACGAUGAACAAGUCGAUUUAUGAACAUUUUUCCUAGAUAAGUGAGGCUUUUAAAAAAUGUUCAUCAUGUGUUCAAAACAAUGAUAACCGUAAAUUUAAAGCAAAAUUGUUCGCCGUGUAUCUUAAAAAUGUUCAUCAUGAAUUUAAAAGGUUUGCCACUAAUUUUAAAAAGUUCAUCAUGUAUUUAUAUCACUAAUUUAGUUAUCUAAACGCUCUUAUAUUAGUUUACAGAGGGAGUAUUUAAAAGUUGUCAUCACGUAAUUAAAAAAAGGUUAAUUGUGCAUUAAUGAAAAUUUUCACCAUGUUUCAGAAAUGUUCAUCACGUAUUAAACUUAACCAUGUAUUUUUAAAAGUAAAAAAUGCUCAUUGUGUAUUUAAAACAUAUAAAGAUAUUUUUUUGUAAAUGAACUAAAAAUAUUCACCAUGAAUUGUUCAAAAAAUUCACCUUGUAUUAUUCAAAAACGCUCAGACACAAAGGACAAAUGUUCAUACACGGUGUGGGGAAAAGGAGAAAAUGCAUAGAGUAAAAGAACAACAAAACAGGAAAAAUGGACAAUGAAAAAAAAAGGAAAGAAUGAAGAAUCCAACUAAGAAAAAAAACAGUUCAGAAGCCAAACACAAAAACCACGCAAAAAGACGCAGCAGGAACCAGCGAACGAAACAACACCCCUAGCUGGCCUGCCCAAGUCACCUUGCUUGUGACUGUCUUCGCAUCCAUUUGACGUGUGUGCGUAUUUGCCGGAGACCUCCUAUUCCCUGACCUACGCGGGGAAAAGUGAGGAAACAUGCACCUAAACCUGUGGGUAGCCCGACCCGAGCCUGGCCCGAAAAAUCCAGGCCACGCUGGUGCCUUGUUUUGCAGCCCAAUGUACAUUUCGCCUAGGCUCGGGCUUUUGUAACAAUACUGAGAAAUAGUAUUUGGUUGGGCUUUCAAUAUUCAGGUCGGGCUUACAACUAACAACAUUGAUAAACACCAUUCGAGCUAGACUUUCGGGCUUGGGGCCUAUAUUUGGCUGAGGCUCGAGCUUGAGAAAGUGUGUACUUUCGGGAUUUGGACCAGCUGGGGCUUGAAGUUUGGGUUUCUGGCUUUUUGAAGCCCAGCCCGCCAUAUAAUCAGGUUUAAGUGCACCCCCGCCCCCCAUGCGUGCUUUUGGCCGGCCCAUAUGCGGGGUGAGCCGGGCUUAUUAUUAUUAUUUUUGCUUUUGUACUUUCAUUCUUUCUCAAUUGCAAGAAAUGUUCAUAAAAUAAUCAUAUGUUUGCACAUUUCUCAAAGUGCUUCAAAUUUUCAAAAUAUUAUAUGAUUUAAAUUCUUCAUAAAUUGAAAAUUUUCUUGAAUUUCAGAAAAUGUUCAUGAAUAGUAAAAUUGUUCCCCUAGUUCACAAAUUAUUCAUGUAUUUGAAAGUCCAUGGAUUCGAAAAUUGCUCGCGAAUUUGAGAAUGGAAUAAUAGAGUGAGUAUAGCAAUUGAUAUCUAUAGAUACUUUGCGAGGUUUAUAUCAUUAAAUUUAGAAAUGAUGUCAUUAUCACGACAUGUAUUGGAUGUCCUUUUUUCACUAGUUAAUAUCCAUAAAAUAUCAUGUUAGAUGACCGAUUUUUCAUAAUAUAACAUUUAUUGUGAAUCAAAAACCAGAAAGCAAGAAUCCUGCAAAGAAAAUGUAACACAUAAUCCUAGAGAGCGCCUUACACAUCUCAUUUCUAAGUGUGUUUACUUAUAAUUUGGUAAACAUAAGUCCAAGCAAAUCAAAGAAAAUCAAAGUACAGAGAAUACCUACAUACCAUGGCCCAUUGACCGGUCCACACAAUUGACUGCUUUAAUGUGACCCAUCAAAGACACUCAGAGCUUCAAAGGUGAACUGUUCUUUGAUCCAGGCUUUGGUUGGCACCGUAAAGAAUGCAAAAUAACAGCUCAAAUAUUUGUAUCAGCAAAAGAUCAAACAACUGAAAUAAGAAGCACAGAGCACAUGAGCAAGGAACAUAAAUGUUGUUAAUAAAACAAGAAAAAAACUAAGAUACGCUUGUGUCACUCGCAACUCACUAACUCAUCACAAAUUCUUCAUACGAGCAAAAUAACACUACUAGGGACAAAGCAGGGCUUCGAUUUUCUUGCACAACAGCUAACAGUUAGAGCUUUUAAUUCAUGUUUACCCAAUAAUUCUCCACAAUUCCUCACAUAGUUUCUAGUUCAACCAUUACUGGUAUGUAAAUAGACAAGAUUAGAUCGAUACUAAAAUUUGCAUUACGCUAUCGACGAAUGACGGCUCAAUUUUAUCUCCACAUAGAUGACACAAGAAUCUCAUUUGAGCAGUUGGUCACAAUGCAUACUAGCAUACUAAUGUUUCCAAUCGAACCGCAGCCAGAAACUUAGAACGACUUAUCCAACUUCUACCACCAAAUCAAAUUCAUAUUAUGAUGUUGCCUCCACGUUCCACGAUCCCGGUAGGUACAUCCAUGCACUUUCCACAUGCGAGAUGCGAUGAAGAUGUGAGAUGUGGCCAAAGAUUUGGGAUGUUGUAAACAUAUGUACGAGAUAUUUUUUUUCUCUAUGUAUACCUAAUAGUUUACUAGAAGCCGCUAUCAGGAUAUUUCUGACUUUUAAAGACACACACACACAGAGAGAUAUACGUAUAUACUAUGGUCAUGUGAGUGUCACAAAUUAAUCCAUGAAACAUGCAAUUUUAUGUAGUCUAUUUUCUUAUGGUUAGAGGGGUUAAGUUUAAGUAUUAUUUUAUGGUGCAAUCUAUUGAAUAGAAAGAAACUAAUCAAAUUUAGCGUAGGGCGUGCACAUAUUUUAAUGACACACAUUACAACCUAGCAGAAAAUACUAUUAUUUAUAUUGAGCAUAAUUAUCGUAAGUAAAUAUAAAAAAGAAGUAACCGCUUGCAGUUAAUAGUGAGUUUUAAACAUGUAUAAAAGUUUAAUAUAAAUAUUCAAUUUAAUUAGACUCGAUUUCUUGUCACCGCCCUAGAUUCAUGUUUGUAAUUAGUGGCAUUGCAUCCAUGCAUCAUGUCUAAUUUUAUCAGAAAUUUGAAUUGAGGGAAUUUUCAAAACCUCAGAAACAUUUUAGAAAUUAUCAACACUAAAAUCUUCUCAAAUAAGUCCAAGAAAAUGUUCCUGUUAUUUUAUGAAAAUAUUGGAAAGAGGUAAAAUUAAAACCAGUAUUUUUGGAUUGUCAGAAAUAUUUAUUUUGGGAAUUUGAGUUAAUCUAAUAAUUAUUUGCAUUAGACUUAUAUUUAUUAUAUAUUAAAUAUUGGUCCAAAAAAUUUGAAAGUUUGUAUGUGGCUCUGGACUAGUUCCCUAAGUCCACAUAUUGAAUUUCAGAAGUUUAUAAAGUGAUUUGGUAGUUAAACCAAAUCAAACAAACAGAACAAAAUGGAAAACAAAAACAGAAAGGGAAGAACAGAGAGAGAGAGAGAGAGUUUACCUGGCAGCCCACUUACCCGGCCCAACUCCUCUAGCCGGCCCAGCCUACCUGGCUCUGCCAGUCGUCCUCUACCUCGUGCCAGAGGGCACGAGGGCGUGUGGCCGCCGCCCACGCGUACGCACCGCGCCACCUCUUGCUUGCCGCUUCGCUCUGGCCCUCUCCGGACGUCGACACGUAGCCCCCUGGUCCUCUCCCUCGCUUCCCUCGUCCUUCCCCACCUCUGGAUCCCUCUCUCUCUCUCACCACCGAGCGGGGCUCGUCGCCACCGACGCCGUUCACCGUAGCCACCGUCUCCUCCUGAACCUCUCUCCGCGCCCAGAAGCUCCGCCACUUCGUCCUCGACCCCCUCGCUGAGCCACGCAACGCCGGACGCCCUGAAGCCUCGCCAACACCGUCGUUCCCCUCGUCGGUCGCCGCGGAUCCUCGCCGUUGAUUCAGGAGCUACAGGACCUCCCCGAGCACUCUGAGCUUCUCUACAAGUCCUCCGUGAGCCCCUCUUUCCCCUACCCUAACCUCGUUGCUUCGCUCGACCUCUAGCUAGCGCUGCCGCCAUGGCCGAGCUCCGCCGCCGCCUGCCUUGUCAUGCGCCACCAUUGCAGCCCGCGCCCGUCGUUGGAGAGCAUGGCAACGAGCUCGUCGUGCCUCCAGGAGGCCGGCUAUCCCUUUUGCUAGCUCGCCCGUGCCCCGUAGCACCGCUGCCCGCUUGCGCCCGAACUCCGGCCGCCGCCCAAGUGGUCACCGCCGUCGACCCCGGCCUCCUGCGCCCAGCUGCAUGCACCCCCUGGAUGCGGGCGAGCGAGGGCUUCCUCAUGGUGCCCUGCUACCUCUUGAGCACUGCGUUGGUUUUCCCUAGAAGAGGAAAGGGUGAUGCAGCAAAGUGGCGUAAGUAUUUCCCUCAGUUUUUGAGAACCAAGGUAUCAAUCCAAUAGGAGGCUACACACGAGUCCCUCGCACCUACACAAACGAAUAAAUCCUCGCAACCAACAUGAUAAGGGGUUGUCAAUCCCUACACGGUCACUUACGAGAGUGAGAUCUGAUAGAUAUGAUAAGAUAAUAUUUUUGGUAUUUUUGUGAUAAAGAUGCAAAGUAAAGAAAGUAAAAUAAAAACGGCGCUAGAAAUAGCUAAGUGUUGGAAGAUUAAUAUGAUGGAAAAUAGACCCGGGGGCCAUAGGUUUCACUAGUGGCUUCUCUCGAGAGCAUAAGUAUUUACGGUGGGUGAACAAAUUACUGUUGAGCAAUUGACAGAAUUGAGCAUAGUUAUGAGAAUAUCUAGGCAUGAUCAUGUAUAUAGGCAUGACGUCCGAAACAAGUAGACCGACUCCUGCCUGCAUCUACUACUAUUACUCCACACAUCGACCGCUAUCCAGCAUGCGUCUAGAGUAUUAAGUUCAUAAGAACAGAGUAACGCUUUAAGCAAGAUGACAUGAUGUAGAGGGAUAAACUCAUGCAAUAUGAUAUAAACCCCAUCUUGUUAUCCUCGAUGGCAACAAUACAUUACGUGCCUUGCUGCCCCCACUGUCACUGGAAAAGGACACCGCAAGAUUGAACCCAAAGCUAAGCACUUCUCCCAUUGCAAGAAAGAUCAAUCUAGUAGGCCAACCCAAACUGAUAAUUCGAAGAGACAUGCAAAGAUAACCAAUCAUACAUAAAAGAAUUCAGAAGAUUCAAAUAUUGUUCAUAGAUAAGCUUGAUCAUAAACCCACAAUUCAUCGGUCUCCACAAACACAUCACAAAAGAAGAUUACAUCGAAUAGAUCUCCACAAGAGAGGGGGAGAACAUUGUAUUGAGAUCGAAAAAGAGAGAAGAAGCCAUCUAGCUAAUAACUAUGGACCCGAAGGUCUGAGGUAAACUACUCACACUUCAUCGGAGAGCCUAUGGUGUUGAUGUAGAAGCCCUCCGUGAUCGAUGCCCCCUCCGGCGGAGCUCCGAAACAGGCCCCAAGAUGGGAUCUCACGAAUACAGAAGGUUGCGGCGGUGAAAUUAGGUUUUUAGCUACGUAUCUGAUCGUUUGGGGGUACGUAGCUAUAUAUAGGAGGAAGGAGUACGUCGGUGGAGCAACGUGGGGCCCACGAGGGUGGAGGGCGCGCCCAGGGGGUAGGAGCGCCCCCUACCUCGUGGCUUCCUGGUAGCUUUCUUGACGUAGGGUCCAAGUCAUCUGGAUCAUGUUUGUUCCGAAAAUCAUGUUUCCGAAGGUUCAUUCCGUUUGGACGCCGUUUGAUAUCCUGCGAAACUCUGAAAUAGGCAAAAAACAGCAAUUCUGGGCUGGGCCUCCGGUUAAUAGGUUAGUCCCAAAAAAUAAUAUAAAAGUGCAUAAUAAAGCCCAAUAAUGUCCAAAACAGAAGAUAAUAUAGCAUGGAGCAAUCAAAAAUUAUAGAUACGUUGGAGACGUAUCAAGCAUCCCCAAGCUUAAUUCCUGCUCGUCCUCGAGUAGGUAAAUGAUAAAAACAGAAUUUUUGAUGUGGAAUGCUACUUGGCAUAAUUUCAGUGUAAUUUUUAUUAAUUGUGGUAUGAAUAUUUAGAUCCGAAAGAUUCAAGAUAAAAGUUCAAUAUUGACAUAAAAAUAAUAAUACUUCAAGCAUACUAACUAAGCAAUUAUGUCCGCAGCAUCGCCGGAGUGCGCGUCCAUGACCCUGUGCGGGCCGAUCAAGAAGCACAUCAUUGAGCACUUCCACCACAAGAAGCCCGUGCCGCCUAAGCCGGAGCUCAAGCCCCAGCCCCACCCGGACUACGGCCCCGUGCCCAAGCCGGAGCCGAAGCCGCAGCCCCACCCAGACUACCACCCCGUCCCUCCCACGCCCACCUACGGUAGCGGUGGCGGCGGUGGUGGAUACCACGGGCACCACUGAGUCAGUUCUACCCCCGUCCUGCCCAGCGAUGAAAUCUCAUCAUCAGCGGGUUGGUGAUCAGUGAGUGGUGGACGGUGCUAAUUAUGAUUGGUUUGCAUGCGUGGGUAUCGUUAGGUCUUCUGCCAUUCCCGCGAAGCCCCGUUUAUUAUCUGCACUGCAGAGUUGGGAGUUCAGAAUAACAGAUGUGCGUGUGUGUGUCGCUGUGUCAGGCGAGUGUGAGGGUGUGUUGGUGUGUUGCUUUAUCAAGAUUUUGUAAUUUCAGUGUGUGUUUUGUAUAAGAAGUUAUUAUGAAUCAAGUAAUUUAACCAAGUCGAUUUGUCAGCCGAACAACUGCAGCUGUUCGAGACGAUUGGCAUGAUAAAGAUAGUGUGAUUUUACUUCAACUCAAUUUUCAGAUCCGUGAACUGAAACUGAAG